This is a long non-coding RNA of Malaclemys terrapin pileata, 774 nucleotides long. RefSeq lists it as uncharacterized. The record is from RefSeq and is a predicted model, not a curated record. The transcript has 3 exons. NCBI's taxonomy places the organism in Eukaryota, Metazoa, Chordata, Testudines, Emydidae.
UAUUGCCAACUAGUGAUGAGCAAACCUCAGAAGUUCAGAAUUUCACUUUGGAUACCCACCCUGAAGUUUAGAUGUUACUUGAAACUUAUCAAAACCUCUACAGUAGAAAUGAAUAGAAAAUCUCAGUCUUCUGGAAAGAUUUCUGCUACUUCCUUAUUCCAUCUAAUUUGGAAAUCCUGUAAGAAAAGAAUUGUUCAUGCUGUUUUGGCUGUUCUGAUUCCUGUGCCUGUUCAAACGAAGAUGUGGAGGAGGGAAGCCUGCGAUACUCCUGGUUGUCAAUAGAUGACUGAGGGCAUGUCUACACUUACCUCUGGAAUGAUUGAUCCAGCUCUCCCGUCAACUCUGGUACUCCACCGGAGUGCGAAGUGUAGGCGGAGUCGACGGGAAGGCGUCAGCAGUCGACAUACCGCAGUGAAGACACCACAAUGAUCUUUGUUCCUGUGAUAAGUACAUCAUCACAAGAGAGAGGCAGCUGACGUGAAUGCUGGUCUCCCCGCACCUUCCUUGAUCUGCUACUGAGCUCAUUCUGGGUCCGUUUGGGAGUUAUAAAGAAAUGUUUGUGAGCAAGGACUAACAGGACAAGUACGACACAGACUCAUAUUAUUUUCUUUCUUCCCUCUUGAGAUGUAAACCAUCUUCAAAUUACGAAGACAAAUGGCCUGGCCUGCCUUGCGUGAGUGAGAUCCAGAAAUCUAUUGCAGCAUUUGUUUGAAUUUGAGCCCUUAAGGCUAGACUGAUGCUUCUGUCAGUGAGCUCUCUCUUACAGAAGGGCCA